Molecule: transfer RNA, 74 nt
Filed under: Staphylococcus aureus
Lineage: Bacteria; Bacillati; Bacillota; Bacilli; Caryophanales; Staphylococcaceae
Also listed under: 9 other names
Description: tRNA-Pro(tgg)
Rfam family: tRNA
About the family: Transfer RNA (tRNA) molecules are approximately 80 nucleotides in length. Their secondary structure includes four short double-helical elements and three loops (D, anti-codon, and T loops). Further hydrogen bonds mediate the characteristic L-shaped molecular structure. tRNAs have two regions of fundamental functional importance: the anti-codon, which is responsible for specific mRNA codon recognition, and the 3' end, to which the tRNAs corresponding amino acid is attached (by aminoacyl-tRNA synthetases). tRNAs cope with the degeneracy of the genetic code in two manners: having more than one tRNA (with a specific anti-codon) for a particular amino acid; and 'wobble' base-pairing, i.e. permitting non-standard base-pairing at the 3rd anti-codon position.
Source: RNAcentral
CGGGAAGUAGCUCAGCUUGGCAGAGCACUUGGUUUGGGACCAAGGGGUCGCAGGUUCGAAUCCUGUCUUCCCGA